GCCUGGGGAUGUGGUGGUGCACAUCUGUAAUCCCAGCUGCUUAGGAGGCUGAGGUGGGAGGAUGGAAAGUUGGAGGCCAGCCUGGGCAACUUAGUGAGAUCUUGCUUCAA
RNAcentral lists this small RNA (110 nucleotides) under Marmota monax (woodchuck). The record is from RNAcentral. Lineage: Eukaryota; Metazoa; Chordata; Mammalia; Rodentia; Sciuridae.